Molecule: long non-coding RNA, 712 nt
Filed under: Mytilus galloprovincialis (Mediterranean mussel)
Lineage: Eukaryota; Metazoa; Mollusca; Bivalvia; Mytilida; Mytilidae
Source: RNAcentral
GCGUAAGAUAAAAAGAUUUUUAAAAAGUACACAAUGGUGACAUUAAGUGGUUGGAUAUGUUGCAUGUAUUGCAUGCGUUCAUGAAAUAUUGCUGAGAAGCCCCCUUCUUUAACCAUAAUAUCAUGUUGUAAAUUAUAAUGUAGAUUUUUGACUCGUGUUUCAUUGCUCAACUUUUGCAAUAUUUGAUACAUAUAUGCUCCCUUUAUAACUCAUUUAAACACUUCAAAUAAUUACAAAAAAACAUUUAAAGGUUGUUAAAGGUUAUUUUUUCAUUGUAUAACCUUUAUAGUGGUCUACAUAUAUAUAGAGUCAUUCACCGUGAUUUCCUGGCCUACUAAAAAAAGCAUCUUACUUAAACGCGGACAUAUGAUAUUUAAUUGUUCCCUUUGAACAUAGGUAUUUGUUACCUUUAUAUUUGAAUACUACAAAAUGUUAAAUAUAACAUAUAGUUAAAGGUUGCGAACGGUUAUUCAUUGUUUAAACUUUUGCGGUCUGCAUUUAUAAUAUAGAGUCAUUCACCGCUGUUUCAUUUCCUAGUGAAUCAAAUGCAUGUAAAUAAAGCGCUGACAGAUAUAUUUAAGACUUUCUUUCAAUUGGUCACUUUACUCGUUAUUUGGUCAGCAUUGGAUUUUAUCAUAAGGGAAUGGUUACCUUUGUAAUUUUCAUCUGCUCAAAAUAACAACUUUUAUUCUGAAGCCAUUUUAAUACCAAG